GACGAACGCUGGCGGCGUGCCUAAUACAUGCAAGUCGAGCGGGCCUCCGGAGGUGCUUGCACCUCCGGAAGGCCAGCGGCGGACGGGUGAGUAACACGUGGGCAACCUGCCUUUGAGGCCGGGAUAACACCGGGAAACCGGUGCUAAUACCGGAUGCGUCCCCUUUCGCGCCUGCGAGAGGGGAGAAAGACGGUCGUUAAGGCCGUCGCUCAAAGAGGGGUCCGCGGCGCAUUAGCUGGUUGGUGGGGUAAGGGCCUACCAAGGCGACGAUGCGUUGCCGACCUGAGAGGGUGAUCGGCCACACUGGGACUGAGACACGGCCCAGACUCCUGCGGGAGGCAGCAGUAGGGAAUCAUCCGCAAUGGGCGAAAGCCUGACGGUGCAACGCCGCGUGAGUGAGGAAGGUUUUCGGAUCGUAAAGCUCUGUUGUGAGGGAAGAACAGCUUCCGGAGGAAAUGCCGGAGGUUUGCCGGUACCUCACCAGAAAGCCCCGGCUAACUACGUGCCAGCCGCCGCAGUAA
RNAcentral lists this ribosomal RNA (521 nucleotides) under uncultured bacterium. RNAcentral describes it as "partial 16S ribosomal RNA". It matches the Rfam family "Bacterial small subunit ribosomal RNA", at positions 28 to 523 of the family's 1533-position model. The record is from RNAcentral.